CGCUGGCGGCGUGCUUAACACAUGCAAGUCGAACGGGAUCCAAGCAGCUUGCUGUUUGGUGAGAGUGGCGAACGGGUGAGUAAUGCGUGACCGACCUGCCCCAUGCUCCGGAAUAGCUCCUGGAAACGGGUGGUAAUGCCGGAUGCUCCAGUUGACCGCAUGGUCUUCUGGGAAGGAUUUUAUCGGCAUGGGAUGGGGUCGCGUCCUAUCAGCUUGUUGGUGGGGCAAUGGCCCACCAAGGCUUCGACGGGUAGCCGGCCUGAGAGGGCGACCGGCCACAUUGGGACUGAGAUACGGCCCAGACUCCUACGGGAGGCAGCAGUGGGGAAUAUUGCACAAUGGGCGCAAGCCUGAUGCAGCGACGCCGCGUGAGGGAUGACGGCCUUCGGGGUUGUAAACCUCUUUUGUUAGGGAGCAAGCGUAAGUGAGUGUACCUUUCGAAUAAGCACCGGCUAACUACGUGCCAGCAGCCGCGG
Molecule: ribosomal RNA, 476 nt
Filed under: Bifidobacterium subtile
Lineage: Bacteria; Bacillati; Actinomycetota; Actinomycetes; Bifidobacteriales; Bifidobacteriaceae
Description: bacterial SSU rRNA
Rfam family: Bacterial small subunit ribosomal RNA
Source: RNAcentral